RNAcentral lists this ribosomal RNA (497 nucleotides) under uncultured bacterium. RNAcentral describes it as "partial 16S ribosomal RNA". It matches the Rfam family "Bacterial small subunit ribosomal RNA", at positions 28 to 507 of the family's 1533-position model. The record is from RNAcentral.
GAUGAACGCUGGCGGCGUGCCUAAUACAUGCAAGUCGAGCGAACAGACGAGGAGCUUGCUCCUCUGACGUUAGCGGCGGACGGGUGAGUAACACGUGGAUAACCUACCUAUAAGACUGGGAUAACUUCGGGAAACCGGAGCUAAUACCGGAUAACAUGUUGAACCGCAUGGUUCAACAGUGAAAGACGGUUUUGCUGUCACUUAUAGAUUGAUCCGCGCCGCAUUAGCUAGUUGGUAAGGUAACGGCUUACCAAGGCAACGAUGCGUAGCCGACCUGAGAGGGUGAUCGGCCACACUGGAACUGAGACACGGUCCAGACUCCUACGGGAGGCAGCAGUAGGGAAUCUUCCGCAAUGGGCGAAAGCCUGACGGAGCAACGCCGCGUGAGUGAAGAAGGUCUUCGGAUCGUAAAACUCUGUUAUUAGGGAAGAACAAAUGUGUAAGUAACUAUGCACGUCUUGACGGUACCUAAUCAGAAAGCCACGGCUAACUACGUG